Unclassified non-coding RNA from Callithrix jacchus (white-tufted-ear marmoset), 300 nucleotides. It matches the Rfam family "Metazoan signal recognition particle RNA". From Rfam's summary of the family: The signal recognition particle (SRP) is a universally conserved ribonucleoprotein. It is involved in the co-translational targeting of proteins to membranes. The eukaryotic SRP consists of a 300-nucleotide 7S RNA and six proteins: SRPs 72, 68, 54, 19, 14, and 9. The record is from Ensembl. NCBI's taxonomy places the organism in Eukaryota, Metazoa, Chordata, Mammalia, Primates, Cebidae.
GCUGAGCACGGUGUCAUGUGCCUUUAGUCCCAGCUACUCGGGAGGCUGAGGUGGGACAACUGCUUGAGCCCAGGAGUUCUGGGCUGUAGUGCACUAUGCCAAUCGGGUGUCCGCACUAAGUUCGGCGUCAAUAUGGUGACCUCUUGGGAUUGGGGGACCGCCAGGUUGCCUAAAGAGGAGUGAACUGGCCCAGGUCAGAAAUGGAGCAGAUUAAAACUCCUGUGCCGAUCAGUAGUGGGAUCGCACCUGUGAAUAGCCACUGCACUCCAGCCUGGGCAACAUAGUGAGACCCCAUCUCUA